This is a long non-coding RNA of Ceratitis capitata (Mediterranean fruit fly), 344 nucleotides long. RefSeq lists it as uncharacterized. The record is from RefSeq and is a predicted model, not a curated record. The transcript is spliced from 2 exons. NCBI's taxonomy places the organism in Eukaryota, Metazoa, Arthropoda, Insecta, Diptera, Tephritidae.
UCAAUUUUUAGAAACUGGCUUAUUUCAGGAUAAUUUUUCACAAAUCAUUUCUACCAAUACUUAAGCCUUUUGACGGCAAUUUCAAGAGAAAAUAAAAUUGCCAGCAAAGCACGAGUAAUUGAGAAUUUAAUUUCAGAAAAAACUAGCUUCCGGAUGGUAAAACGUCGAAUUGAAGUUUUUUGAUAGCAAAAUUCGUAAAGGUAAUAGCAAUUGCGUGAAAAUAACUACGCCCGACAGUCUUAAACUGAUAUGAAAAUUGGCGACACAGAAAAUUAUUAAAGAGGAUGAACGAAAAUCUAUUAAAAUUACGAUUAAAUGAUUUGCUUGGCACCAAUAAACUGAUA